UACGUAGGGACCAAGCGUUGUCCGGAAUCAUUGGGCGUAAAGAGCGUGUAGGCGGCCAUACAGGUCAGCUGUGAAAACUCGAGGCUCAACCUCGAGACGUCGGUUGAAACCGUUUGGCUAGAGUCCGGAAGAGGAGAGUGGAAUUCCCGGUGUAGCGGUGAAAUGCGCAGAUAUCGGGAAGAACACCCGUGGCGAAGGCGGCUCUCUGGGACGGUACUGACGCUGAGACGCGAAAGCGUGGGGAGCGAACAGG
This 253-nucleotide ribosomal RNA is filed under the name uncultured bacterium. RNAcentral describes it as "partial 16S ribosomal RNA". It matches the Rfam family "Bacterial small subunit ribosomal RNA", at positions 524 to 776 of the family's 1533-position model. The record is from RNAcentral.